ACUCAGCUGAUGAGUCAUAGAUAGGACGAGACGCGCGUCCUGGAU
Non-coding RNA from Schistosoma curassoni, 45 nucleotides. The record is from Rfam. NCBI's taxonomy places the organism in Eukaryota, Metazoa, Platyhelminthes, Trematoda, Strigeidida, Schistosomatidae.